This 447-nucleotide ribosomal RNA is filed under the name uncultured bacterium. RNAcentral describes it as "partial 16S ribosomal RNA". It matches the Rfam family "Bacterial small subunit ribosomal RNA", at positions 29 to 523 of the family's 1533-position model. The record is from RNAcentral.
AACGAACGCUGGCGGCAGGCUUAACACAUGCAAGUCGAGCGCCCCGCAAGGGGAGCGGCAGACGGGUGAGUAACGCGUGGGAAUCUACCCGUCACUACGGAACAACUCCGGGAAACUGGAGCUAAUACCGUAUACGUCCUUCGGGAGAAAGAUUUAUCGGUGAUGGAUGAGCCCGCGUUGGAUUAGCUAGUUGGUGGGGUAAUGGCCCACCAAGGCGACGAUCCAUAGCUGGUCUGAGAGGAUGAUCAGCCACACUGGGACUGAGACACGGCCCAGACUCCUACGGGAGGCCGCAGUGGGGAAUAUUGGACAAUGGGCGCAAGCCUGAUCCAGCCAUGCCGCGUGAGUGAUGAAGGCCCUAGGGUUGUAAAGCUCUUUCACCGGUGAAGAUAAUGACGGUAACCGGAGAAGAAGCCCCGGCUAACUUCGUGCCAGCAGCCGCAGUAA